RNAcentral lists this ribosomal RNA (237 nucleotides) under Salmonella enterica. RNAcentral's name for it is "partial 16S ribosomal RNA". It matches the Rfam family "Bacterial small subunit ribosomal RNA", at positions 1 to 234 of the family's 1533-position model. RNAcentral also lists the same sequence under 2 other names. Lineage: Bacteria; Pseudomonadati; Pseudomonadota; Gammaproteobacteria; Enterobacterales; Enterobacteriaceae. The record is from RNAcentral.
AAAUUGAAGAGUUUGAUCAUGGCUCAGAUUGAACGCUGGCGGCAGGCCUAACACAUGCAAGUCGAACGGUAACAGGAAGCAGCUUGCUGCUUUGCUGACGAGUGGCGGACGGGUGAGUAAUGUCUGGGAAACUGCCUGAUGGAGGGGGAUAACUACUGGAAACGGUGGCUAAUACCGCAUAAUGUCGCAAGACCAAAGAGGGGGACCUUCGGGCCUCUUGCCAUCAGAUGUGCCCAG